GUCUACAGCCACAUCAGAAUAAGUCUCCCUGAUCUCAGAGAUUAAGCAGUCCCCAGCCUAGUAAGUAUUUGGAUAAGAGACCACUUGGCAAUUCCACAUAGCGUUAGACA
RNAcentral lists this ribosomal RNA (110 nucleotides) under Calidris pugnax (ruff). The record is from RNAcentral. RNAcentral also lists the same sequence under 1 other name. Lineage: Eukaryota; Metazoa; Chordata; Aves; Charadriiformes; Scolopacidae.